GAUGAAGAACGUAUUGAAAUGCGAUAAGUAAUGUGAAUUGCAGAAUUCAGUGAAUCAUCGAGUCUUUGAACGCACAUUGCGCCCCCUGGUAUUCCGGGGGGCAUGCCUGUCCGAGCGUCAUUGCCGCCCUCAAGCACGGCUUGUGUGUUGGGCCCCCGCCCCCCGGCUUCGGGGGGCGGGCCCGAAAGGCAGCGGCGGCACCGCGUCCGGUCCUCGAGCGUAUGGGGCUUCGUCACCCGCUCUGUAGGCCCGGCCGGCGCCCGCCGGCGACCCCAAUCAAUCUUUCCAGGUUGACCUCGGAUCAGGUAGGGAUACCCGCUGAACUUAAGCAUAUCAAUAAGCGGAGGA
RNAcentral lists this unclassified non-coding RNA (348 nucleotides) under soil metagenome. Its description in RNAcentral is "partial contains 5.8S ribosomal RNA, internal transcribed spacer 2, and large subunit ribosomal RNA". The stretch from base 1 to 120 matches the Rfam family "5.8S ribosomal RNA", at positions 35 to 154 of the family's 154-position model. The record is from RNAcentral.